GAAUAUUGGACAAUGGGCGAAAGCCUGAUCCAGCCAUGCCGCGUGUGUGAAGAAGGUCUUCGGAUUGUAAAGCACUUUAAGUUGGGAGGAAGGGCAGUAAGCGAAUACCUUGCCGUUGUGACGUUACCGACAGAGUAAGCACCGGCUAACUCUGGGCCAGCAGCCGCGGUAAUACAGAGGGUUCACGCGUUAAUCGGAAUCACUGGGCGUAACGCGCGCGUAGGUGGUUCGUUACGUUGGAUGUGAAAUCCCCGGGCUCACCCUGGGAACUGCAUCCAAAACUGGCGAGCUAGAGUAGGGCAGAGGGUGGUGGAAUUUCCUGUGUAGCGGUGAAAUGCGUAGAUAUAGGAAGGAACACCAGUGGCGAAGGCGACCACCUGGGCUCAUACUGACACUGAGGUGCGAAAGCGUGGGGAGCAAACA
This 423-nucleotide ribosomal RNA is filed under the name uncultured bacterium. Its description in RNAcentral is "partial 16S ribosomal RNA". It matches the Rfam family "Bacterial small subunit ribosomal RNA", at positions 359 to 774 of the family's 1533-position model. The record is from RNAcentral.